GUCCCUUCGGGGACAUCCAAUAAAAUUGGAACGAUACAGACAAGAUUAGCAUGGCCCCUGCUCAAUGAUGACACGCACAAAUUGAGAAAUGGUUCAAAUUUUU
RNAcentral lists this small nuclear RNA (103 nucleotides) under Triticum aestivum (bread wheat). The record is from RNAcentral. Lineage: Eukaryota; Viridiplantae; Streptophyta; Magnoliopsida; Poales; Poaceae.